CCCACGCGUCGGCAGCCCCAAACCCCGGCGACCCGAAGCCCUGCACCCCCAAUCCCGGAGAAGCGCCCGCGCCGGCGACUUGCUCUGCGCCCCGACCCCAUUUCCGUCCACGGCAACAUCAAGGCCCCCAACCUGCUCCUCGACCAGACAAUGCACGACCGCGUGGGGAGGACGGCGGAGUCGGGCUCGGAGGGAGGCGAGAUGCAGCUGACCGACCAAGCCAACCACGUUGACGGCUGGCACGGACGGCGGGUGGCGGCAGCAUCGCAACAACAUGGUUGCAGUGCGGAAGCGGCACAACUACGUACAAGAAGAUUAUCAUGGUCGGCUCCUCAUCUCCAACAUCACCAAGGUAACAAUCUACAAAGGGGCCUGCUGCCAUGGCUUGCCUUCCCCAGGGAGUGCUGUGAGGCCGCGCUCCACUUCUUUCGUUCGUGCAGCAGCAGCAGCAGUACAAGCAUACGCACUUCUUCAGUACACAUGCAUGAUGCCUGGGCUUAUCUCUUGCCUUUUUUUAAUUGGCGCUAGGUUGCAUCUUGCCGUGGAAAAGCCUUGAUUGAUUCUGUUUCUGAUGCAUCAAUAAUCUUAAUGUGUUUGUUAACUACAUCGCUCUUGUCUAGGACAAUGUUUACUGUAUUUUGUCAGGCAGUGCAGAUUGUUCAGAUAGGGAAUACACUAUUUCUAUUUGUAUCAGACAAGUACAUUGUAUUGUGUAGUGUGCACUAAUUAUUGGAGCAUCAGGCAAAGCCUUUUGUGUUGAUCACCUCUCUGAAAUUCUACUCUUUUGCUCUGUCUUUGUGCUGGUCAGUUCUCUGAACAUUCUUACACUCAGUGGCUAUCAGUUCCAACUUCCAACACACAGGGAGGCAAUGCAUGGCGCAGACAACCAUUUAGAUCACGCCUACCUAAUUGGCCUACGCUAUGUCCCACACGGUUACCAUUCCAAGAAAUCUUCACAGCUCUCACAUGCUCCAAGUUUAUGAAAUUUAACUUUGCUAUAUGUUCACAAAACAGUUCAGUAUCUGUCAGAGACAUAAUUAGGUUAUAUAUUAAAUGGUAGUUUAGUACACAUAAAUUUGGUCGCGGUUUUGGCGUAAGAAAUUCACAUCAGUUCAAAAUGAGAGACAGUAAAAGUUCGGAGAUAAAUAAUUGAACAUGAAAUGAACUAGUGUGAUUCAAAUUCGGGUGACUAUGUAUUUUCUUAUGCUUACAAGAAUUGUAGCUUCCUUCUUGCUUGCUAAUUGCUAUAGCUUACAAUACUUGGAGCAUUUUUCGGUUGUGAUCUGUACUUUAGGUGCUAACCAAAGAAUAUGCAAGGUUAUUCAGAUUGAGGAUCUUAACUAAUCAUGUUAAUGGUUGCUCUUGCUCCCUGUGCAUUUUCACUCACCGAGAGCGACUACUCCAGAAAAAAAAAACAUGGGAACGUGUUGCCCUCAGUCCUCUCUCGACAAAUCCAGCAGUGCAGGUUCUCCUAUGUGCCAAGUAUUGCCAGCGGCGAAGCCUCCAUCACUGCAGAAAUGCCCGAACUGAAGCCUGUCGGCGAGUCGGGCGUUGGGCCAACCGCUGUCGUCUGUCUACCUCCUUCGCCGGAUUAAUGUGCUACUGACCACGCAAGCUUCCUCAAGGAGCUCGUGUACAACGAUACCGAAAGGAAAAACGGCUCCAGUUUUGAACUUCUUAUUCAGUCAUGCUAUUACUGAGUGAAAAUGGAGUGAAAGUGUAUUGCAAUUGAUCUGUCUUAGACCUUGGCAAUCCUCUAUUUAGCCUGCUUGUUUUUUGGUCUGUAAUUCAAGAACUUUGAGCUUCCUAAUUCGGGUUUUUGUUAAUUUGUUAUGCCUAGAACAAACCGUUAAAUCUGAAGAGGCUUCUAAUAGCAAGAAAAUGUACAGUCAGUGUGUUGUAUGUGCCAUUCAUGUAUGAAAAAUGUGCAGUCGGUGUGGUGCAGAUGUUAUAGCUUC
Molecule: long non-coding RNA, 1958 nt
Organism: Triticum dicoccoides
Lineage: Eukaryota; Viridiplantae; Streptophyta; Magnoliopsida; Poales; Poaceae
Exons: 3
Source: RefSeq, a predicted model, not a curated record